GAUGAACGCUGGCGGCGUGCCUAAUACAUGCAAGUCGAACGGACAGACGAUGAGCUUGUGCCUCUCACGUUAGCGGCGGGCGGGUGAGUAACACGUGUAUAACCUACUUAUAUUUCGGGGAUAACUACGGGAAACCGGAUAUAAUACCGGAGAAUAUACUGAACCGCAGGGGGCAAUGGAGAAAGGCGGUUUUGCUGUCUGUUAUAGCUGCUUCCGGGCCGGAUUGGCUAGUUGGUAAGGUCACGGGUUACCAAGGCGACGAUGCGUAGCCGAGCGGAGAGGCUGAUCGGCCACACUGGAACUGAGACACCGUCCAGACUCCUACGGGAGGCAGCAGUAGGCAAUCUUCGGCAAUGGGCGAAAGCCUUACGGAGCAAGGCCGCGUGAGUGACGAAGGCCUUCGGAUCGUAAAGCUCUGUUAUUAGGGAAGAACAGCUGUGGACUUAAACAUGGACGUAUUGACGGUACCUAAUCAAGAAGCACCGGCUAACUACGUG
Molecule: ribosomal RNA, 497 nt
Filed under: uncultured bacterium
Lineage: Bacteria
Description: partial 16S ribosomal RNA
Rfam family: Bacterial small subunit ribosomal RNA
Source: RNAcentral